GGGCGGCCCGGUGCUGGUCCACAAAGUGUGAUGCUCCUGGUAGAAUGGAAGAGGGCAGCUGAGCCAGUUCCAGGGUGGAUACUGGGGCCCAGUCCUGCUGAGCACUGCUUUCUUCGGAAAUUGGCUCUGUAACUCUAAAGGGUGGGGCUCAAGAUAUGGUUCCUCCAACUGGCUGUAGACAUGCAAUGUCCCUCCAUGGGUCAGAGAUCAGAUCUGGCCCAUCUACAGCGAGAGAUGUCAUCUUCUGUCCUGGGCACCCACAUCCUAUUGACCAUAACCCUCAGCCUCAGCCUGCCAGUGAUGGAAACUCCAGGGGCCUAAAUGAUGAUAGCCUGUACAAGGUUCCUAGGUUAAGCCCAAAGGUGCCAGGAAGCCUGGGGUAGCUUCCUAAAUGGGCCAACAGGCAACAUGUAAGAGCCUCGUGUUUAAGAAGAAAUGAGCUUCAGAACCUGGAGACAAGCCCAAAGACUUGUCAUAUUUAGAGUUUACUCAUGCUUUUGAAAUGCAAUUCAUUGUUUAUCUAGACACUGCUUUGGGAUUUAACAUUAUUAGAAGGAAUGGGAGGUUCAGUUCAUAAAUACAACUUUUGUAUGUAAAUACAAGAAUGCUCUGCUUUUUCUCCCCAAAGUCUGCAUUUUCCUAGGAUUUUGAUCAAGCACAUGAGAGUUAAUCUAUAUUUCAUCAACGAGACUUAAUAAGACCAU
Molecule: long non-coding RNA, 704 nt
Organism: Canis lupus familiaris (dog)
Lineage: Eukaryota; Metazoa; Chordata; Mammalia; Carnivora; Canidae
Exons: 3
Source: RefSeq, a predicted model, not a curated record